CCUGGUUGAUCCUGCCAGUAGUCAUAUGCUUGUCUCAAAGGUUAAGCCAUGCAUGUGUAAGUAUGAACAAAUUUAGACUGUGAAACUGCGAAUGGCUCAUUAAAUCAGUAAUAGUUUGUUUGAUGGUACCUAGUUCUCGGAUAACCAUAGUAAAUCUAGAGCUAAUACGUGCAACAAGUCCCAACUCUUGGAAGGGAUGCAUUUAUUAGAUAAAAGGUCAAUGCGGGUUUUUACCGUUUUUACGAUGAUUCAUGAUAACUUGAUGGAUCGCAAGGCCAUAGUGCUGGCGACGCAUCAUUCAAAUUUCUGCCCUAUCAACUUUCGAUGGUAAGAUAGUGGCCUACCAUGGUGGUGACGGGUGACGGAGAAUUAGGGUUCGAUUCUGGAGAGGGAGCCUAAGAAACGGCUACCACAUCCAAGGAAGGCAGCAGGCGCGCAAAUUACCCAAUCCUGACACGGGGAGGUAGUGACAAUAAAUAACAAUACUGGGCUCAUUCGAGUCUGGUAAUUGGAAUGAGUACAAUCCAAAUCCCUAAACGAGGAUCCAUUGGAGGGCAAGUCUGGUGCCAGCAGCUGCGGUAAUUCCAGCUCCAAUAGCGUAUAUUUAAGUUGUCGCGGUUAAAAAGCUCGUAAAUGGACUUUGAGAUGGGUUUGCCGGUCCGCCUCAUGGUGUGCAUCGUUGAACUUGUCUCUAUUGCUGGUGAUGUGCUCUUGGUCUUUAUUGGUCGGGUCAUGCCUCUAGUGCUGUUACUUUGAAGAAAUUAGAGUGUUCAAAGCAAGCCUACGCUCUGUAUACAUUAGCAUGGGAUAACAUUAUAGGAUUUCGAUCCUAUUACGUUGGCCUUCAGGAUCGGAGUAAUGAUUAACAGGGACAGUCGGGGGCAUUUGUAUUUCAUAGUCACAGGUGAAAUUCUUGGAUUUAUGAAAGACGAACAACUGCGAAAGCAUUUGCCAAGGAUGUUUUUAUUAAUCAAGAACGAAAGUUGGGGGCUCGAAGACGACCAGGUACCGUCCUAGUCUCAACCAUAAACGAUGCCGACUAGGGAUCGGUGGAUGUUGCUUUUAGGACUCUACCGGCACCUUAUGAGAAAUCAAAGUCUUUCGGUUCUGGGGGGAGUAGGUCGCAAGGCUGAAACUUAAAGGAAUUGACGGAAGGGCACCACCAGGAGUGGAGCCUGCGGCUUAAUUUGACUCAACACGGGGAAACUUACCAAGUCCAGACAUAGUAAGGAUUGACAGAUUGAGAGCUCUUUCAAAGGGAACAUGUAAAUUAUUAUUACCCGUAAUCAAAUGAAUACAAUAAUGUCAAAUGCUUAACCACAAGAUGGUUACUUGCAUUAGUACAUAAAAAAACGACCUAAACACCUAUACAAAACAGAAAGUUACAAUUCAAAAUGCACCUACACAACAACAGUAGUAGGCCACACAGUUAACAGAAUUUGAUCCACUAAGAACCCAAGGAAUAACCCAUGGGUGGUGAUGCAUGGCCGUUCUUAGUUGGUGGAGCGAUUUGUCUGGAUAAUUCCGUUAAUGAACGAGACCUCAGCCUGCUAACUAGCUAUGCGAAGGCAUCCCUUCGUGGGCAGCUUCUUAGAGGUACUACGGCCUCUUAGGCCGCGGAAGUUUGAGGCAAUAACAGGUCUGUGAUGCCCUUAGAUGUUAUGGGCCGCACGCGCGCUACACUGAUGUAUUGAAUGAGCGUAUAGCCUUGGCCGAUAGGUUCGGGUAAUCUUUGAAAUUUCAUCGUGAUGGGGAUAGAUCAUUGCAAUUCUUGGUCUUCAACGAGGAAUUCCUAGUAAGCGUGAGUCAUCAGCUCGCGUUGACUAUGUCCCUGCCCUUUGUACACACCACCCGUCGCUCCUACCGAUUGAAUGAUCCGGUGAAGUGUUCGGAUCGUGGUGAUGUGGGUGGUUUUCUACCCGUGACGUUGCGAGAAGUCCAUUGAACCUUAUCAUUUAGAGGAAGGAGAAGUCGUAACAAGGUUUCCGUAGGUGAACCUGCGGAAG
This 2006-nucleotide ribosomal RNA is filed under the name Cuscuta australis. Its description in RNAcentral is "SSU rRNA". It matches the Rfam family "Eukaryotic small subunit ribosomal RNA". Lineage: Eukaryota; Viridiplantae; Streptophyta; Magnoliopsida; Solanales; Convolvulaceae. The record is from RNAcentral.